CGCCGUAAGCCCAAGGUUUCCUGUUCAACGUUCAUCGGAGCAGGGUGAGUCGGCCCCUAAGGCGAGGCAGAGAUGCGUAGCUGAUGGGAAGCAGGUUAAUAUUCCUGCACCGUCGUUAGAUGCGAUGGGGGGACGGAUCGCGGAAGGUUGUCCGACUGUUGGAAUAGUCGGUUUUUGCAUCGAAGAAGGCUGUUAGGCAAAUCCGGCAGCGUAAUUCAAGGGUGUGAGACGAGCGAACUUGUUCGCGAAGCAAUCGGAAGUGGUUCCAAGAAAAGCCUCUAAGCUUCAGUCUAACGAGACCGUACCGCAAACCGACACAGGUGGGCGAGAUGAGUAUUCUAAGGCGCUUGAGAGAACUCGGGAGAAGGAACUCGGCAAAUUGGUACCGUAACUUCGGGAUAAGGAGGCCCAAUGCUUGCGCAAGCAGGUGUUGGGGGCACAAGCCAGGGGGUGGCAACUGUUUAACAAAAACACAGGGCUCUGCGAAAUCAUGAAGAUGACGUAUAGGGUCUGACGCCUGCCCGGUGCCGGAAGGUUAAGAGGAGAGGUGCAAGCUUUGAAUCGAAGCCCCGGUAAACGGCGAGCCGUAACUAUAACGGUCUCUAAGGUAGCGAAAUUCCUUGUCGGGUAAGUUCCGACCUGCACGAAUGGCGUAACGAUUUCCCCACUGUCUCCUCCCGAGACUCAGCGAAGUUGAAAUGUUUGUGAUGAUGCAAUCUACCCGCGGCUAGACGGAAAGACCCAUGAACCUUUACUGUAGCUUUGCAUUGGACUUUGAACCAAUCUGUGUAGGAUAGGUGGGAGGCUUUGAAGCAGGAACGCUAGUUUCUGUGGAGCCGACCUUGAAAUACCACCCUGGUUUGUUUGAGGUUCUAACCUUGGUCCGUUAUCCGGAUCGGGGACAGUGCAUGGUAGGCAGUUUGACUGGGGCGGUCUCCUCCCAAAGUGUAACGGAGGAGUUCGAAGGUACGCUAGGUACGGUCGGACAUCGUGCUAAUAGUGCAAUGGCAUAAGCGUGCUUAACUGCGAGACUGACAAGUCGAGCAGGUACGAAAGUAGGACAUAGUGAUCCGGUGGUUCUGUAUGGAAGGGCCAUCGCUCAACGGAUAAAAGGUACUCUGGGGAUAACAGGCUGAUUCCUCCCAAGAGUUCAUAUCGACGGGGGAGUUUGGCACCUCGAUGUCGGCUCAUCACAUCCUGGGGCUGUAGCCGGUCCCAAGGGUAUGGCUGUUCGCCAUUUAAAGUGGUACGUGAGCUGGGUUUAAAACGUCGUGAGACAGUUUGGUCCCUAUCUGCCGUGGGCGUUGGAAGUUUGAAGGGGGCUGCUCCUAGUACGAGAGGACCGGAGUGGACGAACCUCUGGUGUAUCGGUUGUCACGCCAGUGGCAUUGCCGAGUAGCUAAGUUCGGAAGAGAUAACCGCUGAAAGCAUCUAAGCGGGAAACUCGCCUUGAGAUGAGACUUCCCGGGAACUAGAUUCCCCUAAAGGGUCGUUCGAGACCAGGACGUUGAUAGGUCAGGUGUGGAAGCGCAGUAAUGCGUUAAGCUAACUGAUACUAAUUGCCC
Molecule: ribosomal RNA, 1565 nt
Organism: Oryza sativa (Asian cultivated rice)
Lineage: Eukaryota; Viridiplantae; Streptophyta; Magnoliopsida; Poales; Poaceae
Rfam family: Archaeal large subunit ribosomal RNA
Source: Rfam